Molecule: transfer RNA, 73 nt
Filed under: Scolytinae sp. BMNH 1043123
Lineage: Eukaryota; Metazoa; Arthropoda; Insecta; Coleoptera; Curculionidae
Description: tRNA-Lys
Source: RNAcentral
UCAUUAGAUGGCUGAAAGCAAGCUAUGGUCUCUUAAACCAAAAAAAUAGUAAAUUAGCAAUUACUUCAAUGAA